RNAcentral lists this ribosomal RNA (253 nucleotides) under uncultured bacterium. Its description in RNAcentral is "partial 16S ribosomal RNA". It matches the Rfam family "Bacterial small subunit ribosomal RNA", at positions 524 to 776 of the family's 1533-position model. The record is from RNAcentral.
GACGGAGGAUGCAAGCGUUAUCCGGAAUGAUUGGGCGUAAAGCGUCCGCAGGUGGCAGUUCAAGUCUGCUGUCAAAGACCGGGGCUUAACUUCGGAAAGGCAGUGGAAACUGAACAGCUAGAGUAUGGUAGGGGCAGAGGGAAUUCCUGGUGUAGCGGUGAAAUGCGUAGAUAUCAAGAGGAACACCUGAGGUGAAGACGGGUUGCUGGGCUGACACUGACGCUGAGGCGCGAAAGCCAGGGGAGCAAACGGG